GCACGUCACCCUGUCCGUCGCCGUGUCGGCGCACCGGCGCAUGUUCCCGUCCCUCGCCGCCCCCGACGAGGAGGUCCACGACGCCGACGCCGGCGGCGGCGGGAUCUCCUACGUCCCGUACUCCGACGGCUACGACGAAGGGUUCCGGCUGUUCGCCAGCGACGGCGAGGCGGCGUGGCGGCACUCGGAGACGUUCGGGCGCGUCGGCCGCGAGGCGUUCGCCGGCGUGGUGGACCGCCUCGCCGCGCGCGGCCGCCCCGCGACGUGCGUCGUGUACGCGUUCCUGAUGUGGUGGGCGGCCGACGUCGCGCGCGAGCGCGGCAUCCCGCGGGUGCUCUACUGGAUCCA
Molecule: long non-coding RNA, 348 nt
Filed under: Oryza sativa (Asian cultivated rice)
Lineage: Eukaryota; Viridiplantae; Streptophyta; Magnoliopsida; Poales; Poaceae
Description: long non-coding RNA (OSAT_LNC000286)
Source: RNAcentral